This 303-nucleotide unclassified non-coding RNA is filed under the name fungal sp. RNAcentral's name for it is "partial internal transcribed spacer region". The stretch from base 1 to 46 matches the Rfam family "Eukaryotic small subunit ribosomal RNA", at positions 1786 to 1831 of the family's 1831-position model. Lineage: Eukaryota; Fungi. The record is from RNAcentral.
AAGUCGUAACAAGGUUUCCGUAGGUGAACCUGCGGAAGGAUCAGCAACACCCCCGUGAACUUUCAGCUUGCUCCUGUAGCGUGAACAGCAAUCCCUGGUAAAUCAUUGUUGACCAGCUUUUGAGUCAUAUUGUGAUAUUUUAUAGCUACGGUUGAGCGAUUGCAUCUAGUGACCAAGUAAUCAGUGUCAUUGAUUAUGUAAGGAUGGCGCAGUCACGAUCGCUGUAGGCACACACGGGCUGCCCCUUUACGACAACACAGGCACGGCACCAAAAACCGAACAACUGUUAACAAUGGAUAUCUC